This is a non-coding RNA of Acanthosepion pharaonis, 99 nucleotides long. NCBI's taxonomy places the organism in Eukaryota, Metazoa, Mollusca, Cephalopoda, Sepiida, Sepiidae. The record is from the annotation of a GenBank genome assembly.
CGUUGAAACAUCAGUUACCGUACGAUCACCGAAGUUAAGCAACAUCGAGACUGGUCAGUACCUAGAUGGGUGACCGCUUGGGAAUACGAGUUGCUGUAA